GGCACAGAGAGGUGAAAUAAGGAAUGAAAUAUUACUGGAUGAAAUAAUUAUACUGAUCCUAGCCUUAUUUUAAAAGGGCCCCCAGAAUGCUCUUCUCCAAGACUUAGAAAAAUCAAAUGCUAUCCAUCCCUCAAGAUACAUCCCUCCAGCCCCUCCUUGAAGUCUCCUGCAGCUAGAAGUAGAAGUAGCAUCUAUCCCCAUCUGGACUCCUUAGCACUUUGCUGUACCUGCCUUAGUCCCCAUCUCUUUACACACACACACACACACACACACACACACACAGAGUAUUAUAAUACUAUUACCUAUUAUAUUACAUUAUAUUAUUGUAGUUCUACAGGAACUACAAGGAAUUCUACUGUGAAUUCCUUAAGGGUGGGAUACAUUUUACAAUCAUCACUGUUUCUCUCAUUAGUUGUGGAAUCAAAAAAAUGAGUGCACGAUGAAAAAUUAUUCAAACACAUACAUGCUUUCAUUCCAAUUGAAAAUGUAAAAAUAUUACUGUUAAAACAAUAUUAAAGGACAUGUAAUACAAUUCAAAUAUUCCUACCAUGCACGAUUGUUUUCACUUCUUUGUGCCUCUUUCACCAUUUAUUUGUGUGCAUACUCAGCAUAUUUGUUUGUGUAACAGGAUGUUAAAAAUAGAAUUUGUUGCCUGUAGUUUUUGCUAAAGCUCUACUAGACUGGAACAGAACAAUAGGUGGUAAAUACUCCAUUCCUCAGUGAGAUGCUACCUACCUAUGCAGAGCUGGAAAAGAUUUUGCAACCUGAAAACCCAAUCCUUUCUGAGAUAUAAAAGAACAGAAGAGUCUGGAAGUGAUUUCUUCGGAGAAAUUCAUUUUCGUAUUCCAGAGAAGAAACUUCAAGCUCAGAAUAUUGGCUACUACCUGUGAUAAACAUUUAAAUUAUUGGAACGAGAGAGUUUUUAUAACUAAAUUUGAAAGAAGCAAUUUUUUUUAUCAAAGACCAACCCGAAGAUUCAUGACCACUACCUGUGAUUUCAUCCAUGUUGCAAGGAAAAUCCUGCCCCACUUCCCCAAUAGGAAGAGUGGUGGGGGAAUAAUAAAGUUGUUUUAUGAUGCAUCCUGUGGACUUCUACUCGACAGAAUGGUAACAUUCAACUGUAAUCAGGAUGAGCAAGCCACUUUAUUAAACUAAAAUUUUAAACUUUAAUAAAUAUAAUACAAACUGAAAAAUAAAAAUAAUUUUUCAACUCUACACAAGUAUGUUAACUGCAUAAACAGUGAGAUGUUACACAGGGCUGAGGCCUAUACUUCUUCAGUUUGUACAUUAAACGUCUCCAUGGAGGGUCAAUUGCAUCCUACCUAUUCUGACAGUUAUCAGGUAGCGAGAGAUUUGAGGAAGAGGCGCUUUUCUAAUCUGGGGUAGGAAAAGGAAUGAUACCAUGUAUCAUGAGAAGUAUUUGCACAUAGUGUGUCAAUUAAGCAAGUGCUCAGACUAUUAACAACAUUACUAUGUGAUGAAUGUUUAUACAGUGGAUUCAAAAAUAAGCUUCUUUCCAGAAAGCAGCUUAGUUUUCAUUAAUUAUUACCAGCAUCUUGGUAAUUAUUUAUUUAAUGGUUUAAAAGUUAAAGUUUCAAUCUAUAUUUGUUUUUUUAACAUCAGCCAAGGAAAUACAUGUCUGUUAUACUGCAUCUUUGGAAGUAUGCAAUAAGUGUAACUAUUGAAUCUAUAUUGAAGAGCCACAAGACACUGAAUUUAAUUGGACGAGACUAUUUUAUUUAGGAAGACAAUCAUCUCCUGUGAUCAGCUUAAGGUUUUUGUUUUGUUUUAUCUGGAACAAGCUAAGUUCAUAUUUAGAAAAUAAAGUUAGUUUUUUGGGUGCAUGAGUUUUAGAGUAAAUUAGUAAUUUAGUAAACUUUGACAUUUCCACUUUGUCUCCAAACACAUUUAAAUUCUAUCUGUCUGACUGAAGUUCUAAGGCAUUCUGUGGUUACUUAGAAAUGAUUCCUUAUAUUAAUGUUUACAAAUGCUAAAUUGUAUUUGUUAAAUACAUGUCUUAUUGCCUAAGAGUUUUCCUUUCUUAUAAGUUUAAUAUAAAUGUCUAGGAAAUAAGACUCCCAUUUAAUAGCUUAUAAAGAAUGCUGAUGUAUCAGCAGUGGCCUUGACAUUAUUGGAUACAAGUAAGAUCUACACUGAUGAUUAAAUCAAAUUGGCUAAGAUUAUUCGUUCUAAUAAAAGCACUGACUCCAUGAAGUUUUCUUGUGGCUGAAAUUAACAUUCGUGUUCCUACAAGCUCUUUAAAAUCUUAGUUACUGAAAAUUAUUCCUUUUGACCUAAUUUUUUCUUUACUUUGGAUGUAUUUGACAAGGUAGAGGUUAGGGAUUGGAGAGUAUGUAAAGAAUGAAAUAAAAUGUAGUCACUUUUAACUAUAUCCACAUAUAUCCACAGGGAGAUGGGGGUUAACACUGAUAAUUAUUCUCAACAUUCUUCUGGGUUUGGAGUUAAUUGAGAAAUACACAUAGCGGUCAGAAACAUAG
This 2498-nucleotide long non-coding RNA is filed under the name Homo sapiens (human). Its description in RNAcentral is "HSALNT0118489". The record is from RNAcentral. Lineage: Eukaryota; Metazoa; Chordata; Mammalia; Primates; Hominidae.